Molecule: long non-coding RNA, 1247 nt
Filed under: Capra hircus (goat)
Lineage: Eukaryota; Metazoa; Chordata; Mammalia; Artiodactyla; Bovidae
Description: lncRNA (ENSCHIG00000002735.1)
Source: RNAcentral
GUGUCAGGGAGAUUUGGUUCUAUUUCCCUCUCCCAGUCCAUGUGCAGAGCAGAUCAAAGACCUGAUUACCUCUGUCUUUCCAAAGGCUCCAGAUGGUGUCUUUUUUUUUUUUUUUCCAGAUAUUUUAGCAGUAGAAUUCAAAGGACUAAAGAAUCUGUGUGAUGCUACAGAUGAAAGCUGCACCCAGGUGGUGUCUAUUCCCUGCUGGGGUGGAUCUCAACAGGGGUUCAGCUGUCCAACCUGAAUGGCCAAUGAGAGUUCCCAGCAGGGCCUUCUGCUGCUGUUGUCAUGAAGACAAACAAGGCUGCAUGCUCCACACUUCCUAUAUCCGGAAUGCAGUUGUACCACUCCUGGCAGCCAAUGGAAGCUAAGAAGUCAGCUUACCUGCUUUGCAAAAGUGGCCUGGCACCCAGGCUGGGCCACAGCUCUUCAUUUUAAUUAUUUUAGUUUUCAUAGAAAAUCUCUACAGGCCUGCUAAUUCAGUGGCUUUCAAACAUUUGGAGAUACAACCCACAGAAAAAAAGCAAAAAUACAGAAAUGCAUUUGAUACAUACCUAAAAACUAACAUAUAACUUGUACUAAAUUUUCAUGAAAUGACACUUAGCCUUAUUCUAUGUGAUACCCUCAAAAAAUAUUUUCAUUUUUGAUAUCAUAACCCAUGAUAGAUUGUGGCCUACAGUUUGAUAAGCAUUGUUCACACUAUUUUAACUGGAUUAAGCAUUUGUUUUUAUUUCAUUUUCUCUCCUCAAAGAGAAUGUAUAUCCUGUAAGGGCAAGGACAUUGCACAAGAGUGUCCUUGUAUUAAAUAAGGCAAAUAAUGGCAACUAGUAACUAGAGGCAUUUCCUUAUCCUCACAUUAUUGCGGUACCACAAAAAGGUGGUCUUCAUCAUUUUAAGGUCACUUACAUGUCAUUCAUAUCCUGGAAUCAUACCUGAAAUUUACAGAAUUAAAAGAAUUUUACCCAGAAGGCAGGUUUUACUCCUAGGAAACAGGUAGUAAUGAAGUUUCUCACCAUUUCUGAUAUUUUUUCUCAUUCCUACUCAGUCAUGUUUAUUGAACUUAAGGUUAUAGAAAUUUUCCAAGGGCUAGGCAUUUAUUAGCAUAUAAAUCUUCUAUUUUGACCCAGAGGGACUGUAUGGGGAGGGAGGUGGGAGGGGGGUUCACGAUGGGGAACACAAAUACACCUGUGGCAGGUUCAUGUCAAUGUAUGGCAAAACCAAUACAGUACUGAAAAGUAAUUAGCCUC